UUCACGUUGCCCAGCUCAGUCCUAUCCACCUGCGGCCUGUGUCUCCCGAAUCUGUGGUUCUCACAGCUCUGAGGACUCUCAAAACGGCCCCACAUGCCAGCCUCUUCUCUGUUCCUCAGCAGCGGCCCCAGGUGUGUGGGCUUGGGGAGGCCACUUGAUGUCUUUGAGAUUCUACGUAUCCACUGAAGCUGGGGUGGGAUUCAAGCAGAAGGAAGGUUCUGGAAAGUUAGCUCAGAGAAGUAAUCUGACAGCCCUCCAGGAAAACCUUCCUGACCAUCAUCUAGAGGCUUCACACGAUCUCAGAGGCCUGGAGGGAAGGACCUCGGUCUGGGACCUGCUUCCUUCCUUUGAACAGCUUGGCUGGCCACGCUGCUGCAGAGAUAUGAAAAGGCAUGCGAGCACAAGUCAGCGUGUUCCUGCCAAAUCAUCUCUAAGCACUUCACAGAGACGAUCGUGUCGAACAUGUCAUUAUCAUUUCCUGAAUCAUUCUGGGCUUAGUGUUGUAGGUCACGAUGGGUUUUUGUCAACAUGAUUUAACCGUAACCACACAAAGGACAUUACUAGGGCUAGAACUGACAAGUGAUAGUCACAGAAAAUACAGGCCAGGUUUCACAUAAAGGCUGACAAUCCCUAACCUGAAAAUCUGAGAUCCAAAAUGCUCCCAAAUCCAAAACUUUCUUGGUACUAACAUGAUUCCACAAGUGGAAAAUUAUAUACCAUGAAAUUUUGCUACAUGAACAAAAUUAUUUUUAAAAAAUGGUUUAAAAACACCCUAAGAUUACACAUAUAGGGUAAUAGGAGACAUAAAUGAAUUUUGAAGAUAUUUCAUUAUAUGUGUGCAAAUAAUCCAAAUAUCCUCCCUACCCUUCUCUCUCAUACAUUUUCGACAUGAACUACUUCUGCUCCCAAGCGUUUCAG
Long non-coding RNA from Peromyscus eremicus (cactus mouse), 918 nucleotides. RefSeq lists it as uncharacterized. The record is from RefSeq and is a predicted model, not a curated record. The transcript has 3 exons. NCBI's taxonomy places the organism in Eukaryota, Metazoa, Chordata, Mammalia, Rodentia, Cricetidae.